UACGGAGGGUGCAAGCGUUAUCCGGAUUCACUGGGUUUAAAGGGUGCGUAGGCGGGCAGGUAAGUCCGUGGUGAAAUCUCCGGGCUUAACUCGGAACGGUCAAGUGAUACUGUCGGACUAGAGUACAGAAGGGGCAACUGGAAUUCUCGGUGUAGCGGUGAAAUGCGUAGAUAUCGAGAGGAACACCUGCGGCGAAGGCGGGUUGCUGGGCUGAUACUGACGCUGAGGAGCGAAAGCAUGGGGAGCGAACAGG
This 253-nucleotide ribosomal RNA is filed under the name uncultured bacterium. RNAcentral's name for it is "partial 16S ribosomal RNA". It matches the Rfam family "Bacterial small subunit ribosomal RNA", at positions 524 to 776 of the family's 1533-position model. The record is from RNAcentral.